GGGCAUACUCGUAGACCUUGCCUGACUGUGCUCAUGUCCAGGCAGGGGGGACAGUGUAUGCAAGAAUAAUUUGGAGUUCCUGCCAGCUCUAACCAGCUUCAUCAGUGGCUGGAUAAAUUGCAGGACUCUAAACAUUUCCCUGAAGAAAAAAAGAAAACUUAAUUUGGAAAUGGUUCUAAUUGAAAAACCUCUACUUAGAGUAUGGAUUUUGAUUUUUAAAAAUUAAAAAUCAAAUA
Small nucleolar RNA from Homo sapiens (human), 236 nucleotides. RefSeq annotates it as small nucleolar RNA, H/ACA box 58. The transcript has a single exon. NCBI's taxonomy places the organism in Eukaryota, Metazoa, Chordata, Mammalia, Primates, Hominidae. The record is from RefSeq and is marked validated.